Molecule: ribosomal RNA, 402 nt
Filed under: Triticum aestivum (bread wheat)
Lineage: Eukaryota; Viridiplantae; Streptophyta; Magnoliopsida; Poales; Poaceae
Description: partial small subunit ribosomal RNA
Source: RNAcentral
AAGGAAGGUGAAGUAAUUGUCUUCACUGAUCAUCUGCUCCGAGGUUUUACCCCACCUGGCUCAAAAUUCUUCUGUGAUGUGCUGCACUUUUGCAAGCUCCAUCCUCAAGAUAUCGGGCCCAAUUCCGUUUCAAACAUCUGCAACUUUCAAGUGUUUUGCGAAGUAUACCUUCAACAAGAGCCCACCGUAGAAUUGUUCAGACAAUUUUAUUAUUUAAACUGGCAGACUGAAUUCACAGAUGGGCCCAGCCUAGAGUUAGGUGGCAUUUUGAUUCAGAGGUGGAAAGAAGCCACCUUCCCCGCCGCCAAACUACCCAGUCAUCCUAAGGACUGGAAUCAGACUUGGUUUUACUGCCAAGACACUUCUCCAGAAGGGGAAAAAUCCUCUAUCGGGUUACCGUGA